GGAAUAAACUGAAACCGGGUUCUUGCUCGCUUUCCUCCCUGGGAGUGCAUGUGCACGCUUGUUUUUUCUUAAUUUCUCCAACUGUGCACGAAUUGUAGACCUGGUCUAUGUUUUUGCACAAUCUCUGAAUGUAUUAGAAUGGCUGGGAACAAAAAAUAUACAUACAACUUUCAGCAACGGAUCUCUUGGCUCUCGCAUCGAUGAAGAACGCAGCGAAAUGCGAUAAGUAAUGUGAAUUGCAGAAUUCAGUGAAUCAUCGAAUCUUUGAACGCAUCUUGCGCUCCUUGGUAUUCUGAGGAGCAUGCCUGUUUGAGUGUCAUUUAAAACUUCUCAACUGCUUCUGAGCAGCUUGGAAAUGGGGGGUGUGCAGGCUAAGUGUAGUCUGCUCCCCCUGAAAUGUACUUAGUGGUGUCUGGGCGGACUAACCACAGGUGUGAUAAAUUAUCAAUGCCUUGGUUAAUUUUGCUGCUGCUUCCAACCCUUAUAAAUGACCAACUUGACCUCAAAUCAGGUAGGAUUACCUCGCUGAACUUAAGCAUAUCAAUAAGCGGAGGAAAAAGAAACUGAACAAGGAUUCCCCUAGUAACUGCGAGUGCAAGCGGGAAGAGCUCAUAAUNUGAAAUCUGAUGGUUGUUGACCGUACCCGAUUCCUUGGUU
This 657-nucleotide ribosomal RNA is filed under the name uncultured Inocybe. Its description in RNAcentral is "eukaryotic LSU rRNA". The stretch from base 166 to 319 matches the Rfam family "5.8S ribosomal RNA". Lineage: Eukaryota; Fungi; Basidiomycota; Agaricomycetes; Agaricales; Cortinariaceae. The record is from RNAcentral.